GAAGAAAGAACUUACUCUCAUUGGGAGAUAUAAUUUGUAAAAUAAUAUUCAGCUGUGGGGAGGAUGGAACCAACACCAAAGUUCUACCAAAGGAUCAUGAUACCAAGGACAUAGAAGAGUUCCAGAAGAAGGUAGUAUAGUAGAAAAAAUACUGGAUGCAGUCAUAGGAAUGUGGGUUCAAAUACUGCCUAUACCACUAAAUAAGUAUAUAACCUUGAAACUUUUAAAUUCCAGGCCAGCUUCUUGGGAAAGGCAGGAAGGGUUAAGUCAACUCAGAAAGCCUAGAGGGUACGCUUCAUCCCUGAUGAGCUCCUUGAGAUCAAGGAUGGUUUCAUUUUUGCCUUUGUAGUCCCAAUAGGCACUUAAUAAAUGCUUGUUGCUUGAUGGAUCA
RNAcentral lists this long non-coding RNA (391 nucleotides) under Monodelphis domestica (gray short-tailed opossum). RNAcentral describes it as "lncRNA (ENSMODG00000041410.1)". Lineage: Eukaryota; Metazoa; Chordata; Mammalia; Didelphimorphia; Didelphidae. The record is from RNAcentral.